ACGCACGCUGGCGGCGUGCCUCAUACAUGCAGGUUGAGCGCUGAAGAUUGGUGCUUGCCCCAAUUUGAAGAGCAGCGAACGGGUGAGUAACGCGUGGGGAAUCUGCCUUUGAGCGGGGGACAACAUUUGGAAACGAAUGCUAAUACCGCAUAACAACUUUAAACAUAAGUUUUAAGUUUGAAAGAUGCAAUUGCAUCACUCAAAGAUGAUCCCGCGUUGUAUUAGCUAGUUGGUGAGGUAAGGGCUCACCAAGGCGAUGAUACAUAGCCGACCUGAGAGGGUGAUCGGCCACAUUGGGACUGAGACACGGCCCAAACUCCUACGGGAGGCAGCAGUAGGGAAUCUUCGGCAAUGGACGAAAGUCUGACCGAGCAACGCCGCGUGAGUGAAGAAGGUUUUCGGAUCGUAAAACUCUGUUGGUAGAGAAGAACGUUGGUGAGAGUGGAAAGCUCAUCGAGUGACGGUAACUACCCAGAAAGGGACGGCUAACUACGUG
This 496-nucleotide ribosomal RNA is filed under the name uncultured bacterium. RNAcentral's name for it is "partial 16S ribosomal RNA". It matches the Rfam family "Bacterial small subunit ribosomal RNA", at positions 29 to 507 of the family's 1533-position model. The record is from RNAcentral.